Molecule: unclassified non-coding RNA, 351 nt
Filed under: soil metagenome
Description: partial contains 5.8S ribosomal RNA, internal transcribed spacer 2, and large subunit ribosomal RNA
Rfam family: 5.8S ribosomal RNA (bases 1-120)
Source: RNAcentral
GAUGAAGAACGCAGUGAAAUGCGAUAAGUAAUGUGAAUUGCAGAAUUCAGUGAAUCAUCGAAUCUUUGAACGCACAUUGCGCCCGCCAGUAUUCUGGCGGGCAUGCCUGUUCGAGCGUCAUUACAACCCUCAGGCCCCCGGGCCUGGCGUUGGGGAUCGGCAGAAGCCCCCUGUGGGCACACGCCGUCCCUCAAAUACAGUGGCGGUCCCGCCGCAGCUUCCAUUGCGUAGUAGCUAACACCUCGCAACUGGAGAGCGGCGCGGCCAUGCCGUAAAACACCCAACUUCUGAAUGUUGACCUCGAAUCAGGUAGGAAUACCCGCUGAACUUAAGCAUAUCAAUAAGCGGGGA